AAAACACUCACCCAAAAGCAUGUGUCAUCCGGCUGAUUCUCUAUAAUAUCCUGGGUGAAUCAGACAUGUUCCAGCAUUUCUGCUAAAUGUCAUCUCAGAAGAGGGGCAGUCAGGCAAAGGAAAGAGCUAAAGCAUUGACAUGAUGAGGAGGAGAGAAGAGAAAGAAUUCAGAACAUGAAACACGUGGCAGGACCCACAGGUUAAAUGGUCGUUGUUCCAGGAGGUCUUCCACACGCACCUGUGUAGGGCAUGGAGGGAUGAAGGAAGAGCAAGUCCCAUCCCCUGCUUAAGGAACUGAUGGUUUGGCGGGAGAGAAGGGCAAGAUGGUGAAAAUUUGUACAAUGCCACAGAUUAACGCUAACGACUCUGUAACAAAUGCUUCAUAAGGGAAUCGGAAUUGACUGCAGUCCUGGAACAUUGGAGGGCUGUACACAGGAGAGGAUAAAGAAUCUGGCUGUGAGGGUGGGACACAUAAGAAAAGCUCUUCAUCUCCCCCUCAGCCCCAUAGAUGGCUGCCCCGGGUGGGGAGUAAGGGGAAAAGGCUGCCCCUAGGUGGAAUGCUGGAAAGGGCUAGUGGGCCACAGCAGGACCUCUGUCCUAGAGCCCAACACAUAGUGUGCAUGCCCCCAGCCAUGGUCCAGAGAUUCUGAGCAUCAGCAUGACGUGAUAUCCCUUUCUGCCCGCAUGGAUGUCAUCAAGGGACUGGCUGGAAGGUAGCAGAAGCCCAGGAGCCUAGCACACAGAAGGAGAUAGUGACUCUGCCUCAUUUCUGUGUGGGGUUUCCCCCUCUUUUUCCCUCUUAAGAGGGCAAGUUGGACUUUGUGACUUGCUGCUCUGGGCUUACUCCAGGGACAAGAUAAGAAUCUUCCAUUUUUUAGAAAGCAGGCUCAUAGAAGAAAACAGCUGGAUUGUCACAAAAAAAUGGCAUCUAAACAAUGGAGGGAUCUGAAGUUGAAGGCAGGGUGAUUUCUGAGACCAGCGAAGGAUGUAGAGGUGGUGCUUCCACGUGACACCUCAAGAUGGUUAGGACCCCUGAGAGGGGCGGCGCAAGGAUGCUUGGAGACUGAUUCCAAACAUCAAGGUCAUGGCACCCGGAAAGAAGGACUUAUGAAGGUUGCCAGACGAUAGUGUACCCUGUGAGUGCUCAGGAGCCCUGCUUCCUGGCCUAGCAAUACCAUGUGGACUUGGACCAGGAGCAUCUCGGAGCUAACCACAACGGACUGAGACCAACCAGGGCACUUCCUAGAAUGUAUGGAUGUCUUGAUCUCCCCACCCCAUGCCCAUGACUCUUGUAAAACCCUGUAAAAGAGGAGAGGCCCAGUAAAAGCUGAUAUCUGUAUCUAAA
Molecule: long non-coding RNA, 1345 nt
Organism: Equus caballus (horse)
Lineage: Eukaryota; Metazoa; Chordata; Mammalia; Perissodactyla; Equidae
Source: RefSeq, a predicted model, not a curated record